CGGUGAAUACGUUCCCGGGCCUUGUACACACCGCCCGUCACACCAUGGGAGUGGGCUGCACCAGAAGUAGAUAGCUUAACCUUCGGGAGGGCGUUUACCACGGUGUGGUUCAUGACUGGGGUGAAGUCGUAACAAGGUAGCCCUAGGGGAACCUGGGGCUGGAUCACCUCCUUA
RNAcentral lists this ribosomal RNA (174 nucleotides) under Photobacterium damselae. RNAcentral's name for it is "partial 16S ribosomal RNA". It matches the Rfam family "Bacterial small subunit ribosomal RNA", at positions 1360 to 1533 of the family's 1533-position model. The record is from RNAcentral. Lineage: Bacteria; Pseudomonadati; Pseudomonadota; Gammaproteobacteria; Vibrionales; Vibrionaceae. RNAcentral also lists the same sequence under 2 other names.